Molecule: ribosomal RNA, 467 nt
Filed under: uncultured bacterium
Lineage: Bacteria
Description: partial 16S ribosomal RNA
Rfam family: Bacterial small subunit ribosomal RNA
Source: RNAcentral
GACGAACGCUGGCGGCGUGCUUAACACAUGCAAGUCGAACGGAAAGGCCUCUUUCGGGGGGUACUCGAGUGGCGAACGGGUGAGUAACACGUGAGUAACCUGCCCUUGACUUUGGGAUAACUUCAGGAAACUGGGGCUAAUACCGGAUAGGAGCUCCUGCUGCAUGGUGGGGGUUGGAAAGUUUCGGCGGUUGGGGAUGGACUCGCGGCUUAUCAGCUUGUUGGUGGGGUGGUGGCUUACCAAGGCUUUGACGGGUAGCCGGCCUGAGAGGGUGACCGGCCACAUUGGGACUGGGGUACGGCCCAGACUCCUACGGGGGGCAACAGUGGGGAAUAUUGCACAAUGGGUGGAAGCCUGAUGCAGCAACGCCGUGUGCGGGAUGACGGGCUUCGGGUUGGAAACCGCUUUCGCUCAUGACGAAGCUUUGUGUGACGGUAGUGGGUAAAGAAGCACCGGCUAACUACGUG